Molecule: ribosomal RNA, 253 nt
Filed under: uncultured bacterium
Lineage: Bacteria
Description: partial 16S ribosomal RNA
Rfam family: Bacterial small subunit ribosomal RNA
Source: RNAcentral
UACGUAGGGUGCGAGCGUUAAUCGGAAUUACUGGGCGUAAAGAGCGCGCAGGCGGUCGUUCAAGUCGAGUGUGAAAGCCCCCGGCUCAACUGGGGAGGGUCACUCGAUACUGAUCGACUCGAAGGCAGAAGAGGGAAGCGGAAUUCCCGGUGUAGUGGUGAAAUGCGUAGAUAUCGGGAGGAACACCAGUGGCGAAGGCGGCUUUCUGGUCUGCUCUUGACGCUGAGGCGCGAAAGCUAGGGUAGCAAACGGG